Molecule: transfer RNA, 90 nt
Filed under: Streptomyces echinoruber
Lineage: Bacteria; Bacillati; Actinomycetota; Actinomycetes; Kitasatosporales; Streptomycetaceae
Description: tRNA-Gly
Source: RNAcentral
CGGUGCCGGGGUGCUUGCCGAUCACGCUGCUGCCGUCGGCGUGGACCUCGGCGAGCGGGAAGCCGGGGCGGUGCACGUCGCCGUCGCCGA